GACGAACGCUGGCGGCGUGCUUAACACAUGCAAGUCGAACGGAAAGGCCCGGCUUUUGUGGGGUGCUCGAUUGGCGAACGGGUGAGUAACACGCGAGUAUCCCGCACCUGACUGUGGGAGAACUUCACGAAACUGGGGCUAAUAUCGCAUAGGAGCUCCUGCACCGUGGGGGGGGUUGGAAAGUGUCGGCGUUGGUGUAUGGACUCGCGGCGUAGUAGCUUGAUGGGCGGGUAGUGACUUACCAGGCCUUUGACGGGUAGCCGGCCUGAGAGGGUGACCGGCGGCCUGGGAGCUGGGACAGGGUCCAGACUCCUACGGGAGGCAGCAGUAGGGUAUCGGCCGCAAUGGGCGAGAGCUUGACGGAGCGACGCGGCGUGAGUGAUGAAGGUCUUCGGAGCGUAAAACUCUGUUAUUAGGGAAGAACAAAUUUGGAAGGAACUAUGCACGUCUUGACGGUACUUAAUCAGAAAGCAACGGCUAACUACGUG
This 488-nucleotide ribosomal RNA is filed under the name uncultured bacterium. RNAcentral describes it as "partial 16S ribosomal RNA". It matches the Rfam family "Bacterial small subunit ribosomal RNA", at positions 28 to 507 of the family's 1533-position model. The record is from RNAcentral.